This 256-nucleotide ribosomal RNA is filed under the name uncultured bacterium. RNAcentral's name for it is "partial 16S ribosomal RNA". It matches the Rfam family "Bacterial small subunit ribosomal RNA", at positions 524 to 777 of the family's 1533-position model. The record is from RNAcentral.
UACGAGGGGGGCGAGCGUUGUUCGGAAUUAUUGGGCGUAAAGCGCGUGUAGGCGGCCGUGCAAGUCGGGUGUGAAAGCCCUCGGCUCAACCGAGGAAGUGCGCCCGAAACUGCAUGGCUUGAGUACCGGAGAGGAUGGCGGAAUUCCCCAAGUAGAGGUGAAAUUCGUAGAUAUGGGGAGGAACACCGGUGGCGAAGGCGGCCAUCUGGACGGAUACUGACGCUGAGACGCGAAAAGCGUGGGGGAGCAAACAGGA